RNAcentral lists this ribosomal RNA (484 nucleotides) under uncultured bacterium. RNAcentral's name for it is "partial 16S ribosomal RNA". It matches the Rfam family "Bacterial small subunit ribosomal RNA", at positions 29 to 507 of the family's 1533-position model. The record is from RNAcentral.
AUUGAACGCUGGCGGCAGGCCUAACACAUGCAAGUCGAGCGGAUGAAGGGUGCUUGCGCCUGGAUUCAGCGGCGGACGGGUGAGUAAUGCCUAGGAAUCUGCCUGGUAUUGGGGGAUGACGUCCUGAGACGGGCGCUAAUACCGCAUACUUCCUGAGGGAGCAAGUUGGGGAGCUUCGGACCUCACGCUCUCAGAUGAGCCUAGGUCGGAUUAGCUAGUUGGUGGGGUAAAGGCCUACCUAGGCGACGAUCCGUAACUGGUCUGAGAGGAUGAUCAGGCACACGGGAAGUGAGACACCGUCCAGACUACUACGAGAGGCAGCAGUCGGGAAUAGUGGACAAUGGGCGAAAGCAUGAUCCAGCCAGGCCGCGUGUGUGAAGAAGGUCUUCGGAGUGGAAAGAAGUUUAAGUGGGGAGGAAGGGCAGUAAGUUAAGACCUAGCUGUAGUGACGGUACCAACAGAAGAAGCACCGGCUAACUUCGUG